CGUCGUCCGGCUGCAGCAUCGCAGCCGAAACGUCAAGCCGUGAUACCAACGUCCACCUGCCGUGGCCACAAGAAGACUGGCGGCCCGCGGUGUCGUCCGGCUGCAGCAUCGCAGCCGAAACGUCAAGCCUUUCAGUGGAAUGGGUGCGAAAGGAAUGUGGAAAACAGAUAAUUAUCGUCGAUGGGUUCACUUUCUACUGCCAUAAGACUACUAAAAAGACCAAGAUAUGGUCUUGUACCAACGGACGGUGUAAGGCGAGUCUCAUCACGGCGAUCUCGGAGCAAGUGAUCAAAAGGGCCAACCUUGGCCAUGACCAUAAAGCACCGCUGUUCAAUGUAAUUGAUGGGAUUUACAUGAGAUAAGAUAAGAUAUUACUUUAUUGCCUCGUUUUUGCAUGCUUUACAAACAUAGAAAUACAAAGGAAAAUAUUAAAAUAAGAUGAUACAGACGACGGCUCAUCAAGUUUAGCACUAUAGCUACUUAAGGGAGAGUCCGGUAAUUUGGACCAAUUUUUUUCAAUCCCAUCUUACACAUACUUUUGUUUUGUUUUUGCUAAUGUCCUUGGUGUAUAAUAAAAGAGAAAUUAUGCAACUUACUAUUUCAUAGGUAUGAAUCAACAUGAUUGUUGUAUAUUUAGCACAAAUCGACAAAAUACGAGUUCAGAG
Molecule: long non-coding RNA, 665 nt
Organism: Ostrinia furnacalis (Asian corn borer)
Lineage: Eukaryota; Metazoa; Arthropoda; Insecta; Lepidoptera; Crambidae
Exons: 3
Source: RefSeq, a predicted model, not a curated record